Molecule: ribosomal RNA, 497 nt
Filed under: uncultured bacterium
Lineage: Bacteria
Description: partial 16S ribosomal RNA
Rfam family: Bacterial small subunit ribosomal RNA
Source: RNAcentral
GAUGAACGCUGGCGGCGUGCCUAACACAUGCAAGUCGAGCGGACGGACGAGAAGCUUGUGUCUUUGCUGUUAGCGGCGGGCGGGUGAGUAACGCGUGGAUCACCUACUUAUAUUUCUGGGAUAACUUCGUGAAACCGUAGCUAAUACUGGCUAAUAUUUUGAACCGCAUGGUUCAAGAGUGCUUGUCGGCCUUGGUGUCUCUUAUAGCUGGAUCCGCGCUGCCUUAGCUAGUUGGUAAGGUAACGGCCUACCAAGGCAACGAUGCGUAGCCGACCUGAGAGGAUGAUCAGCCACACUGGAACUGAGACACGGUCCAGACUCCUACGGGAGGCAGCAGUAGGGAAUAUUCGGCAAUGGGCGAAAGCCUGACGCAGCAAGGCCGCGUGAGUGAUGAAGGUCUUCGGGUCGUAAAGCCCUCUUAUUAGGGAAGAACAGAUGUGGACUUAAACGUGGCUGUCUUGACGGUACCUAAUCAAUAAGCACCGGCUAACUACGUG